AUCAUUAUUGGGAAAGAAAAUUGUAUUCAUUAAAAUUUGUAAUAUUAUUCAGUCUGAAACGAAAGCAAUAGAUUGCCUAAAGAACUUCGCUUACAAGAGAAAGUAACAUUUUCCAUUGUUCAAAGUGCUUAGAUCUGAAGAAAGAUGACUGAUACUAGCUUGGGCUCCGAACUUGGAGCGUUUGGAGAAAAUGUUCUCAUGCUAAUCGCUUUUCUAUUGAUAAAGAUUGGAUUGCAAUAUCUAGUGAAAUGGAUUUGGAAGAAAUUCGAUAAAAGGCGUUAAAAUCAUUCUUUGGAUGGAAUGUACUUUUAAACAGUCCUAACCUCAACAGAAAAGUUUUUUUUUUGAAGUAGUCAUGAAAUUUUUUCAUAAAACUGAAUAAACAACAAACAUGAAGCACUGAA
Molecule: long non-coding RNA, 404 nt
Organism: Teleopsis dalmanni
Lineage: Eukaryota; Metazoa; Arthropoda; Insecta; Diptera; Diopsidae
Exons: 2
Source: RefSeq, a predicted model, not a curated record